CGCUCACGAAGUGACCCUGGUCUCGGGAAGGGCAAACAAAACAUGGCCGCCCUUGUCUUCUCCUUCUUCUGGUGUCCUUGUUGCGAGUGCGGCUUGCCCGUGUGGUGUGUGUGGGGAUCCUACAGGCGUCAAACCCGUCGCAAUUGCAAUUCUAGAUGAAACCCCGUGGAUGGAUAUUGUCCAGGUUCACAUAUCUUAGUUGCCAGUGUUAAGCAGGCGGUGAUUCAUAGUUAUUAUUUCUCUCUUACUCAACCGAAAAUGAAUCCUGCGUAUAUAGUUCUUCUCUCCUCUCCAUUUGUUUUUCCCCCUUCCCAUCCCGAUCCAUCAUCAUUUUUAUUUGUUGUUAUAGACAGUAUACACACAUUUCAGCAGCAAUCGCAAGGAUUCCAACCCCCCUCCCCCUCCCCCUUUUGCGCGCGGAAGCUGAUUCGCUCCCGACAGCUGCAGCAUGUAUCUCAAAAUACUCAGCCCACCAAGUCCAGAGCGAAAGAAAAAGCAAAAAAGCAGGGCGGACAUGGGAUGCGCAUCGAAUCAGGAUGCAUACUUCAGAUUUCCUUCCCUGGCUCCCCUCCCUGUCCCUCCAGGAUCUUCCAACACCACCACGUUCAAAACACGGCCUUGGAACGCCUCCAAAGAGUCUCAGGUAAAAAAAGGAGGAAAAAGAAAAAAGAAAAAAGAAAAAAAAAAUCUCAGGCAAGACUUAUCUGUAACUUAUCUGUACUAGCUUUUCUGUCAGUUUAGUUAUUUAUUCGUAGUAACUCAGGCCACAGCACUUUCUUCCUCCAGCGACCACUUCAUACCCAACCCGUCAUUGCCGAGCAUCCUCUGUUUCCAUAUUGGUCCAUGACGUGAUUAUUUACUGACAUAAUAAUAACAACAUGUUGGAUGCCCGCCCGCGUAAUCUGCAAAAGACGAACCUAGGGUUUGAAUUUUGGCGGGGAGCAGAUCGGCCGGCGCCACGGACCCCUCCCCUCUCAACAUAAUAAUAGCAAUAAUAACAAGAUCAAAAAUUUACGGGAAAAAAAAAAAAAAAAAAAAACACGCAAUAAAAUCAUUAUGAUCGUGUUGUUGUUAAACUUGAGACCGAGCCGGAUGAGUGCAGACUAUGUAACUUUGUACCUUAUACACGUACUGUACAGUUAUAGCCGUGGCCAGAGUAACUCCUAACUAGUGGCCGCUUCAACGACAGGACCAAGCAGAACGAGACGGCAGCUAGCAAUAUUACUGCGUAGUUACACUCCGCUGUGCUGGGAUGGGCCGGGAUGGAUUGCUGGGCGGCAAAUGAAAAUGGGAGAUGCGCUUGGAGGUGGUUGGUUGGUUGGUUGGUUGGUUGGUUGAUUGACUAUCAUUGUAUGGCUACUGCAUGUUUGCUCGGUGGGUGUGUUCAUUCGGCAGGUCACUAUUCUGCCCUUAGAGGCAGUGGGGAAGUCACACGGCAUGCGGAUGGGCCUUUUGUUGAGGACCGAGAUUGAAGAGGGGGUGGGGAAGGAGAUAGAAUCCUUUUGCGAAAGGUUUCGAUCGAUGAUAAAAUUUCACGCGUAGGUUAGGUUUUGCGGUGUUAAUGUCAGAUCAUGACAUUCAAAGUGACAUUCCAAGUGGAAUAUCAUUGGCCAGUUAGGAUCGUUCAUCGACGGGAGUUGAUAGGGUGAAUAACCAGCCUGUUCAAUAGGUCGAGAUUGCUUUGGCCCUCAAUCGCGCACCGUAUUUCCACACAAAUAGCGGGAGCAUGAUCAUGAGGAGGAACCCGGCCAACGCAAGUACUGAAUUGGUCCAUCCAUACCCGAGCGCAUGGUACAUACUAGGGGCA
RNAcentral lists this small RNA (1807 nucleotides) under Histoplasma capsulatum G186AR. RNAcentral describes it as "hypothetical RNA". Lineage: Eukaryota; Fungi; Ascomycota; Eurotiomycetes; Onygenales; Ajellomycetaceae. The record is from RNAcentral.